CGGGAUCGCUACGACGCGGCGCGGCUUUGCCCCCCGGUGGAGAGAUCUUGCCGCAGCAGCAGCAGCCGGAGGCCGGUGCUCCGGUGGUCGAGGCCGAGCGGCGCCCGCCGACCGCCAUGGCUGGCAGCGACGAGGUCAACCGCAACGAGUGCAAGAGCCCCUCUCGACCUCCGUCUCGCAUCGAAGCGGCCCUCCCCACCUUCCCCUGCUGCUCCGCUGCCUGGCCAUGGACGGCUAGUCAGCUCUUGAUCCGGUCGCAGCCUUAGAUCCGGCCGCAUGGGUGGGUGAGGUGCCGGGCUGGCUGCAGCUCCAACUCGCGCAUGAGAGGAAGGACAUGGAAGCAUGGCCCUCCCAAGCUGCUGGCCACCAACCCCGACUGAGCAAGGUACGACCACCUCUAGCAGUUCAGCAGAGUCGUGGUGGUGGAGAAUGACCACAACAAUGACAGCUCCCAAGUCGCAGGAUGUCUAGUGGGCAGAACCGAGGUACAUUAGAUAGAUACAGGAUAGUUGUUGUCUUCAUUUCUGAAAAUGAAUGGUUAAUCAUCAGAUUCAUUUGUAGAACUGCAAUUCCAUUUUACAGAUAAUUUCUCUUUUUCUUGAUGCAAUCCUCCUGUUUGUUAUUGCCGUUCAAACUAUUGUUUGUUCCCUUGAUUGUUGUGUAACUUCAUUGAUAAUAAUGGCAUAAGAAUUUUAUCAUCAGUGCAUAAUAUAUCUUAUCUUAAAUUAGCUUGUUAACUUUAAGGUUGUACAUGCUAUCACUGGAUACUUGAGUUUGCCUAUUGCAGGGUGCUGUUGAUGUCCUUUAACUUAUUUUGCAAGCAUUCAGCAAAUUACUUAUUGCAGGGUGCUGCUGAUGUCCUUUAACAUAUUCACAUAUUUGUAAACCCUUGAUAAAUACAAUUGCUUUUGUCUUAUAUUUUAUUUCCUUGCAAAAGUUGGUCUGAGCAUUAUAAAGCUGUAUAGUUGUUACCCACUGAUUGUAUACCAAGAAGACAUAAUUGUUAGGCUAAAGAGACAAGCAGGUGUUACAGCAACAUGGAGCAGCACUAGCAUGGAAGCUAAUAUGCAUUUGUAUUAACCAGCUCAAGUGGAUUUAGAUUGAUUCAAUUGAUACAUGUAUGUUGCUGGAAAACUUAUGUUGUAUGCAUGUAUAUUUGUGCUGGAAUUGCUUAUGGUAAUUUCUCGCUCGAACUUUUGUUUUGAUAAGUGAGUUGUGAAAACCGGUUAUAUGGGUUGUGUAUAAAGUUAAAUUUGGUUAGUUGCUAGUUAAUUGUGGGUUGAGAAUU
Panicum virgatum (switchgrass) is the source of this 1288-nucleotide long non-coding RNA. RefSeq lists it as uncharacterized. The transcript has 4 exons. The record is from RefSeq and is a predicted model, not a curated record. NCBI's taxonomy places the organism in Eukaryota, Viridiplantae, Streptophyta, Magnoliopsida, Poales, Poaceae.